UAGAUUACUGGUUCUACAGACAGAGGAGGGGGAUAGGUAGAUUACUGGUUCUACAGACAGAGGAGGGGGAUAGGUAGAUUACUGGUUCUACAGACAGAGGAGGGGGAUAGGUAGAUUACUGGUUCUACAGACAGAGGAGGGGGAUAGGUAGAUUACUGGUUCUACAGACAGGUACAGAGGAGGGGGAUAGGUAGAUUACUGGUUCUACAGACAGAGGAGGGGGAUAGGUAGAUUACUGGUUCUACAGACAGAGGAGGGGGAUAGGUAGAUUACUGGUUCUACAGACAGAGGAGGGGGAUAGGUAGAUUACUGGUUCUACAGACAGAGGAGGGGGAUAGGUAGAUUACUGGUUCUACAGACAGAGGAGGGGGAUAGGUAGAUUACUGGUUCUACAGACAGGUACAGAGGAGGGGGAUAGGUAGAUUACUGGUUCUACAGACAGAGGAGGGGGAUAGGUAGAUUACUGGUUCUACAGACAGAGGAGGGGGAUAGGUAGAUUACUGGUUCUACAGACAGAGGAGGGGGAUAGGUAGAUUACUGGUUCUACAGACAGAGGAGGGGGAUAGGUAGAUUACUGGUUCUACAGACAGAGGAGGGGGAUAGGUAGAUUACUGGUUCUACAGACAGAGGAGGGGGAUAGGUAGAUUACUGGUUCUACAGACAGGUACAGAGGAGGGGGAUAGGUAGAUUACUGGUUCUACAGACAGAGGAGGGGGAUAGGUAGAUGACUGGUUCUACAGACAG
This is a long non-coding RNA of Oncorhynchus keta (chum salmon), 744 nucleotides long. RefSeq lists it as uncharacterized. The record is from RefSeq and is a predicted model, not a curated record. The transcript is spliced from 5 exons. NCBI's taxonomy places the organism in Eukaryota, Metazoa, Chordata, Actinopteri, Salmoniformes, Salmonidae.